Molecule: long non-coding RNA, 509 nt
Filed under: Setaria viridis
Lineage: Eukaryota; Viridiplantae; Streptophyta; Magnoliopsida; Poales; Poaceae
Description: long non-coding RNA (SVIR_LNC010377)
Source: RNAcentral
CGUGUGGAUGCCUUGUGAGAAGAAGAAGAAAGGGUAGGGGGGUUAUAGGAAAAGUCUAGGGAUCUUUGCAUGAGGAAAAACAUAGAUCUCAAGGCCUAGAUGCAAAAUAGUCUCGGUUUUGUGUUAUUUCGUAGAUUUAAAAUGGAUGAAACUUUCAAAAUGUGUAGGAAAAUGUAGAAAAAUGGGAAAAAUAUGAAACUUAUUUUCCUAGGUUCCUGAUAAUAUCUAGUUUCUUUUAAAAAUAUUCAUAUGCAUGUUACUGAUCUGUAUGUAGCACUAGAUUUUAUUUUGUAUAAAAGCCAACAAAUGCUUUAUAAAUCAUAGAAAACUUGGAAAAAUAUGAAACCACUUCUGUUAGUUUACGUUUGACAUGCAUGUUCUAGAUCUAUAAGUUGUGCUACUAGAAUCCCUGAUGUUCAUAUUAUUUUAAGUCCAAAUGCUUAAAUGCUAAGUUGUGUUGGUUUAAAAUUCAGAAACAGGAUAACUUCCCAAAUGAAUGUUGAGCAACC